UCCACGCAACACAUGCAACAACAAUAAAUUGAGCGCAAUUGAAACCGCUUCGGGGCUUUGUCGUUCGCGCCGUCGCCAUGACGGUUUCCAUACCUUCGGUUUCCCCGGUUACCAAGCAACUACGGCUUGAUUAACAGUCUUCGGAUGGAAUACGCAGUCGAGUGUACAAAGACUAUGUAUGUUGUGAAAGAAGAUGUUUCAACUUGGUAAGAAUUAGGGUUAUUAUGUAUCCAGACAUGCAAUAAUGAUGUAUUUUUCAAGAAACAACUUCGCAAUGAUGUUGAUAACCAUCUUUAUUUUUUAUAUUUUAAUCUUCUUUAAAUUCUUGUUUGUUUAAUGAAAAUUUUGAACACGUCAAACGAAAGUUAGUUUAAUAUCAAUAUUUGCAAACUAAAAUGCACAUUUUUACACAUACUUUAUACGUAUUACUUGUUUAUACCUUUAAACCCUUUAUCAAUAAAUGUUGUCUUAGUUCAAAUAUUAUAAAGAUAAAA
Dalotia coriaria is the source of this 494-nucleotide long non-coding RNA. RefSeq lists it as uncharacterized. The record is from RefSeq and is a predicted model, not a curated record. The transcript is spliced from 2 exons. Lineage: Eukaryota; Metazoa; Arthropoda; Insecta; Coleoptera; Staphylinidae.